Molecule: unclassified non-coding RNA, 376 nt
Filed under: Hevea brasiliensis (rubber tree)
Lineage: Eukaryota; Viridiplantae; Streptophyta; Magnoliopsida; Malpighiales; Euphorbiaceae
Source: RNAcentral
CCGUUUGGCAUAAAACUCAUCAUCUUGAUGUUUCAAAAUUGAUUCACCUUGUGUUCGAUGCAGUACUCCAGUUCUCCGACUAUAUUUUCUCCUCCAGUGAACCCGAUCAUCAAUAUAAACAACAUCAUCUUCUGCAUUAUCAAUAUCAUUAUAACCGUCAACCCAUUGAUUGCCCCUAUAUUUGCCACCACGUAUUUCUCUCCUAUGUCUCCCAUACCUAUCAGCGACAUCAAACAUUUCCUUUCUUGGUGACAUCAUAUCCUUCCACCUUUCUUCAUUGGCUGCAUAAGAUUCUCUGUGAGACCAAGUGGACAAAUGCUGUUGAUUCAGAAUCCAAUGAUCAUCUGCAGUUUCUAUACACCAUGAAUUCUCCAAA